Molecule: ribosomal RNA, 490 nt
Filed under: uncultured Beggiatoa sp.
Lineage: Bacteria; Pseudomonadati; Pseudomonadota; Gammaproteobacteria; Thiotrichales; Thiotrichaceae
Description: bacterial SSU rRNA
Rfam family: Bacterial small subunit ribosomal RNA
Source: RNAcentral
AGAGUUUGAUCCUGGCUCAGAUUGAACGCUGGCGGCGUGCUUAACACAUGCAAGUCGUGCGGUAACAGGCGUAGCAAUACGUGCUGACGAGCGGCGAACGGGUGCGUAAUACAUGGGAAUCUGCCUUUUAGUGGGGAAUAACCCGGCGAAAGCCGGGCUAAUGCCGCAUAAGAUCUUCGGAUGAAAGCGGGGGAUCGUAAGACCUCGCGCUGAUAGAUGAGCCCAUGCCGGAUUAGCUAGUUGGUGAGGUAACGGCUCACCAAGGCGACGAUCCGUAGCUGGUCUGAGAGGACGGCCAGCCACACUGGGACUGAGACACGGCCCAGACUCCUACGGGAGGCAGCAGUGGGGAAUAUUGGACAAUGGGGGAAACCCUGAUCCAGCGACGCCGCGUGUGUGAAGAAGGCCUGCGGGUUGUAAAGCACUUUCGGUGGGAACGAAAUAUGCCGGGCUAAUACCCCGGUAGGCUGACGUACUCAAGAAGAGACCC